UAAAGAGUGGUACAAAAACCUCAGUCAGUCAGACGUCACAGUGAUGCACUGAUACAGCUGAGAGAUACUGCAGCUGCUGAUGGAGGAUCACAAACAACACAAUGACAAUGUUUAGCAAAGUUUCUUUAAAAAAUAAUUAUUAAUAUAGUAAAUAUACAUUUAUAUAUAGUCAUUUAUGUUUGUAUUAAAUAACUGUUAGUGCUCAUAUGAAUUAUGGCAGCACUGGGAUGUUUUAUUGUUUGUGUUUCAGAUCACAGUAUGAGAGCGAUGUGGAGUGAAGCAGAAAUAGCAGUUGUUUUUAAUGUGUUUUCUCUCACUCCAGGAUUGAAAGAAGCGGUUUCUUUCUCCAGUGGUUGUGGAAAAAUAUGCAUACUAACUAAUCAGAUUUAGUCUGAAAGGGACAGUGACCCUGGAGUAAAGUGGCUUACAUAAAGACACACUGGUGGUGACGCUGCAGAGAUCGACCAGCAACCUUCUGCUUACCAGUUCAGUAGUUGAGCCCACUACAACACAAAAGUAAUCGUGCUCAUGGAGAUCAGGCACACGGAUGUUUGGCGCAGACACCGCAGCAGCCAGAUUGUCCCGCACAUCUUCUCCCACUCUUGCUUCGAGGUUGUGUGGUUCCGGGGGCCUGUCAUCAUGGUCUUCCUCAUUUUCUGCCUCAACGAUGUCGCCAUUGAGAAGAGCGAGAUUAAGAAGCACAGCACGCAACCACCUCAGGCACGAAGGCAGGGUUUACCUCUAAGGCCUUGAAGAAAAUACUGCGCCACCGUGUCUUCAGCAUCCCAAAAGCUCUCUCAACGAUGUUCCGGGCACGGGAGUGCUUGUUGUUGAAACGAGCCUGCGCGGGGUUCUGUACAGGCUCUCUGUAAGGCGUGAUGAGGCAGAUGGGUGCACUCAGGCAAGGAUAGCCACCAUCACCGAGGAUGCACUUGCCUGGUGGUGGAUAAAGGCUGCCAGUGUAGACAGGGCUGUUCCUCAGGACCCUGGCAUCGUGCACAGACCCAGGAUAUCCCACGAAGACAUCAAGGAAUUUCCGCCGGUGAUCAGUGAUGGCCUGGAGCUGGAUGGAAUGAAACAGCUUCCUGUUGUAGUAGCAGUGGGAGCUAUUUGCUGGAGGUUUAAUCCGGACUGGACAGCCGUCUAUAGCACCAACGGCUCUGCUGAAAGCUGGUGACCCAGCCAGCUGUGCAAAUCCUGCCUCUAGGUCAUCUCCGGUCAGAAAGCAAAUCACCCUCCUCAAAAUUCCCAUGAUUGCCUGGCUCACUCUGUGCACAAUGUCAUGCACAGAGGACUUGGGGAUAUCAAAGGUCUGUGAGACCACCCUGUAGGAUGCUGCAUGGGCAAGCCAGUAGAGGAAGACAAGCACCUCAAUGUCCCUCUCCCAUCCAUGGUCAGAUUCCAGCCUGAGUGCACCAAUGAGGGACAUGAUGGAUGGCAAAGACAGGUGAAGGUGAUCACGGUGGUCAGCUGCUUCAUUGAAAUAAAGCUGCAGUAUUGGCACAGCUCUGUUGAGAUGGCAGUAGGAUGUGGGGUUGUCCACGUGUAAAUAUGAUAUAGCUCAUUAGAAUAAUAAAUUUGAAUAAAGAUUUGUUUCAUGUGUUGUUGACUUGUAUUUAUUUGUUUUAUUCAUUUGUUUACUCAUUUUUGUUUGUUCAU
Molecule: long non-coding RNA, 1659 nt
Organism: Ctenopharyngodon idella (grass carp)
Lineage: Eukaryota; Metazoa; Chordata; Actinopteri; Cypriniformes; Xenocyprididae
Exons: 3
Source: RefSeq, a predicted model, not a curated record